GACGAACGCUGGCGGCGUGCUUAACACAUGCAAGUCGAACGGUAAGGCCCUUCGGGGUACACGAGUGGCGAACGGGUGAGUAACACGUGGGUGAUCUGCCCUGCACUUCGGGAUAAGCCUGGGAAACUGGGUCUAAUACCGGAUAGGACUCGUGGCUUCAUGGUUGGGGGGGGAAAGCUUUUGCGGUGUGGGAUGGGCCCGCGGCCUAUCAGCUUGUUGGUGGGGUAGUGGCCUACCAAGGCGACGACGGGUAGCCGGCCUGAGAGGGUGACCGGUCACACUGGGACUGAGAUACGGCCCAGACUCCUACGGGAGGCAGCAGUGGGGAAUAUUGCACAAUGGGCGCAAGCCUGAUGCAGCGACGCCGCGUGAGGGAUGACGGCCUUCGGGUUGUAAACCUCUUUCAGCUAUGACGAAGCGCAAGUGACGGUAGUAGCAGAAGAAGGACCGGCCAACUACGUGCCAGCAGCCGCCGCAG
This 478-nucleotide ribosomal RNA is filed under the name uncultured bacterium. Its description in RNAcentral is "partial 16S ribosomal RNA". It matches the Rfam family "Bacterial small subunit ribosomal RNA", at positions 28 to 523 of the family's 1533-position model. The record is from RNAcentral.